CCAACCAACCUCUCCCUAGGGCUUUAUAAAUGUGUUAUGGCCUUCUACUUCUUCACUGAACAAACACCAGAGAAAGUAAUAUGAACAGUCAUCAAACCACGCAGAUGUUGAAGCAACUAGAGCCAUGGUGCGAGCUUAAAGACAAAGUGGUUCUUCUGACCGGAGCUUCUUCUGGUAUAGGAAGAGAAGUCUGUCUUGAUCUGGGCAAAGCUGGCUGUAAGAUUAUCGCAGCAGCUCGCCGUGUCGACCGUCUCGAAUCUCUUUGCUCUGAAAUCAACAGCUUAAGUUCAACCGGGAUCCAAUUAGCCGCACCGAUCGAGCUAGACGUUUCAUCAGACGCAGCCACCAUUCAAAAAGCGGUCAAACAAGCUUGGGACAUCUUCGGAAAGAUAGAUGUGUUGAUCAACAACGCUGGAAUCAGAGGCAAUGUCAAGACGAGUUUAGAUCUGACUGAAGACGAGUGGAACACAGUCUUCAGAACCAACUUAACCGGACCUUGGUUAGUAUCCAAAUACGUCUGCAGUCUAAUGCGUGACUCAAAACGCGGCGGCUCGGUGAUAAACGUCUCGUCCAUCUCCGGUCUCCACCGAGGUUUGUUUUUCGGUGGAGUCGCCUAUGCUUGUUCCAAAGGCGGUGUUGACACCAUGACGAGGAUGAUGGCUAUUGAGUUAGGUGUAUACAACAUCAGAGUGAACUCAAUCGCACCGGGGCUUCUUAAGUCAGAGAUCACGCAAGGUCUUAUGCAAAAAGAAUGGCUAAAGAACGUGACCGAUAGGAUUAUACCGUUAAAGGUGCAACAGACCGUGGAUCCGGGAAUUACCUCGCUGGUUCGCUAUCUCAUUCAUGACUCUUCUCGAUAUGUCUCAGGAAAUAUAUACAUUCUUGACUCUGGAACUACAUUACCUGGCCUGCCCAUUUUUUCUUCUCUUUGAGCCUCAAAGCCCGUGUGUUGUAAUAAAAACAAUUAGAGCUUGAUACAUGCACCAAUGCAGAUGUUGUGUUUUACCCUUUUUUAUAAAUUGUUUAAUGACAUUUAUAAAAUAUAUAUGUCAUUUGGAUAAUUUUAGGUUCUAACACAUUAUAACUGAAUUCAUCCUACUCGAAUUCCGCCCAUAAAUUUAUAGUAUUUUUAAACAGAAUCUAAUUUAAAACCAAAAAAUUCUUAUACCUGAAAGAACUGAUUCCUAUCUGAACAAAUACCUAAAUAUACAUGCAUAUCUGAUUCUGUAAACAAAUAAAAAAUUCUUUGUAAAUAUAUUUGAGUUCUUGUCAAUGGAACAACCAAUCAAUCUAUACUAUAUAAAAGUUGAGGCUAUAAGCCAUUGAGGGUGUCCACGUAGGAUGUUAAACGAUCAAUCGUAGUAUGACAAAUCAUUAUUUAAGUUUACUAUUUUGAAAAAUGUUAAUAUUACAAAAAAAAAUCAUUUAUUUCAAACUAAAAUAUAAAUCAAUAUCAAAUAAGGUAAAUCAAUAAAAAUAUAAAUACUAUAUUAAGUUAACAAAAUGUUUAAUUAUUUUUCGAAAAUUAAAAAAAUAAAUAACCAAAAGAAUAAUUAAUAAGUUUGCUAUUUUCGAAAAUGCCAAUAUUUCCUAAAAUCGUUUAUGAUAAAUCAUUUUUAAAAAUAUGUUAAUGUUUGCAAAAAAAUAUUUUAUUAAAAAAAUAAAUAUUAUCUAAUAAAUUAGGCUAAUAAAAUAUAUGAUUUCCAAAUUUAUGAUUUUUUUUGUCAGCUUUUGUUUGGCCAGCUUUCCAAAUUUAUGUAUAUUGACAUAAAAUAGAAGUUUUAAUAUUUAAAGUCGAAAUAUAAUUAUUAGAUUUAAAAUUCAAAAAUUUUAAAAGUCAAAAAAGUAUCCUUAAAUACUAUAUUACCUUUAUAUAUUUUAAAAAUGUCAUGAUUUCAAAAUUUAUGAAUUUUUUUUGGUCAGCUUUUUUUUGGGACAACUUUCAAAUUUAUGUAUAUUUUACAUAAAUAGACAUUUAAAUAUUAAAUGACGAUAUAUAUUUAUUAGGUUUAAAAAUCAAAAUUUAAAAAGUCAAAACAUAUCGUUAAAUAACAUUUUACCUUUACAUAUUUUAAAAAUGUCAUGAUUUCCAAAUUUAUGUAUUUUUUAUCAGCUUUUUUUUGUCAAUUUCCAAAUUUAUGUAUAUUAUCAUAAAAUAUAAGUUUUAAUAAAAGGUAAGUUCACUUAAUACAUAAAAUAAGAAAGUUUCUAAUAUAUGAAGUAUUGGGUGACUAUAAAUAAUCAUCUAAAGUUCUAAAAGUUUUCAAGAUUUUACUUUGAGAAAGAGAUAGAUAUUGAAAAGAGAAUAGAGAUAUGGUCGCUUCAGCUACUUCUUUGGUUUUGGAUGAUCUUAAAAAAGGUUUUAAUAAGAAUGAAGUUCUUGCUAGAGUGGUUCACUUUUGGGAAGCGCGUAACAUCAACAAGGGUGGUUUGCUUAUGGGCUUCGAGUUAUUUCUUAUUGACCAAAAGGUAUAAUUAUUAUUUUAAAAAUUUCAAGAUUUUCAGAAAAAAUGUUUAUUUCAAAAUAAAAAGGAAACUACUAUUCAAUUUCGUGAAAAAGGCAAAAUUAUUAAAGGAAUCAAUUUGGUAUAUAAACUAAAUCUUUGAAA
Molecule: RNA transcript, 2609 nt
Organism: Brassica rapa (field mustard)
Lineage: Eukaryota; Viridiplantae; Streptophyta; Magnoliopsida; Brassicales; Brassicaceae
Gene name: 3-oxoacyl-[acyl-carrier-protein] reductase FabG-like
Source: RefSeq, a predicted model, not a curated record